Molecule: unclassified non-coding RNA, 413 nt
Filed under: soil metagenome
Description: partial contains 5.8S ribosomal RNA, internal transcribed spacer 2, and large subunit ribosomal RNA
Rfam family: 5.8S ribosomal RNA (bases 1-120)
Source: RNAcentral
GAUGAAGAACGUAGCGAAAUGCGAUAAGUAAUGUGAAUUGCAGAAUUCAGUGAAUCAUCGAAUCUUUGAACGCACCUUGCGCUCUUUGGUAUUCCGAAGAGCAUGCCUGUUUGAGUGUCAUGAAAAUAUCAACCUUGACUUGGGUUUUGUGCUGUAGUCUCGGCUUGGAAUUGGGUGCUUGCCGCUUUUACGAGCGGCUCACCUUAAAUGUAUUAGCUGGAUCUGUCUUUGAGACUUGGUUUGACUUGGCGUAAUAAGUAUUUCGCUAAGGACAUUCUUCGGAGUGGCCUCGUUUCUAGGACGCUUGUCCGCUUUCCAAUACAAGUUCCACCUCGUGGACAUGACUUUUUAUUAUCUGGCCUCAAAUCAGGUAGGACUACCCGCUGAACUUAAGCAUAUCAAUAAGCGGAGGA